This 1655-nucleotide long non-coding RNA is filed under the name Astyanax mexicanus (Mexican tetra). RNAcentral's name for it is "lncRNA (ENSAMXG00005007131.1)". The stretch from base 1071 to 1157 matches the Rfam family "mir-22 microRNA precursor family". Lineage: Eukaryota; Metazoa; Chordata; Actinopteri; Characiformes; Acestrorhamphidae. The record is from RNAcentral.
GUUGGAGGAGAGACGCGGGGCGGAGAGGAGCCGGUGCGACGGGGGAAGACCGGCGGACCGAGGGCGGCGGGGUCGGUGUUAAUCGUAGUUUAUCGCAGUCGUAGUUGUGAGCAGUUGGGGCGGGUGUUGGUGCGGGUUUGCGGUCGUUUAGACGCCGUUUGGAGUGGCGGUUUUGUCGGAGGUGGCGGCUGGGAGCGGGGAGUUAGGGUUAAGGUGUGGCUUUCUGGAAAAGACCCGGUUUAUCUGCGGGGUCGAGGGUCUGGAGUGGCUCUUACCUCCGGCUGGUUUUGUGGAGGGGUUUUAAGGAGGGGGCGUGGCUGUCAUGGCUGGAUUUUGGGUGAAAAUUGUUUUAAGGAAGCGUUUGAUUACACAAUGAGAUGUGUGUGUGUGUGUAUGAGUGUGUGUUACAGAAAGAGAGAGCAGCAGGAUGGGCUUUAUUAACACUACCUAAGACUGAUAGCUAUAGGCAGCCAGCAUUGGUGACAGGGUUUUUAGGGAGUGUAAAAGCUGUAGAAACGUGUAAAUAAAUAAAUAUGUUAUAUAUUUAAGACUUUGACUCCCUCACGCGCUCGCUCACGCAUACAUAUAACCUACACCCAGGGCGUGAGCCUGCAGUCGAGUGGAGCCACACAUACACACUCUCACAGUGUGUGUGUGUGUGUGUUUGAGUGCUAGUCUGCUCUCGUUCGUGUCAGAUAUGUGGAGAGAAAACGGUAAAUUUAAAAAAAGGCUCAGGUUUCAGAAAGAAAAGAGGAAAAAAAAAAAAAAAGAAAAGAAGAAGAAGGACCACAAGCACAUCGACUGCUCUGAGACAUCUGCUGGGGAGAGAGACACACAGAAAGAGAAAUAUAAAAAGAAAGAAAGAGAGAAAGAAAGAAAGAGUCAUGAGCUAUGGAGAAGGACACGAUCGCCAGUGUUCCCUAUUGCGCCAGUGUGCCGUUUUUGUGGACCUAUGGAAUUCCAUUGGAAAGGCGUCUAGCUGCCAAAGGUUGAUUGACUCGAUGCUGUCUGUCCCCUUCACCACUAAUGGUCAUCAAGGGAGUGACCCAGCAUUUGCCCUGGUGCCCACUGGCUGACCCGCAGCAGUUCUUCACUGGCAAGCUUUAUGUCCUUGUGUAUCAGCUAAAGCUGCCAGCUGAAGAACUGUUGUGGUUGGCUCUUUCCUGGCACCUCAGCCGAGGAGGACACGAUGAUGGCGUGCACAUCCAUAAUGGCAUAGGUGAGGUUUCAGGAAGAGAAGACAAAAGAGGGGGGGGAUGGGUGGAUGGGCGGAUGGCUCAGACAGUAGUGCUGGCGUGAUGAUGGGUCAGAGGGUUCAAACCAAUAGUGGAUCAGACAGGUCCGGCUUUCGGUCCCCCCCUCCACCCUCCUCCUAGCUUUGCCUGGAAUGCUCACGUGAGCUGUCCGGGCCUGGCUGUGCAUUCUCCACAGGCAUAAACAAAAGCUUCUGGCAGAGCCCAUGCUGACUCAGCAACAUUCCUGGCCCGGUGAGGUCCUCCUGGCCUUAUUUGGGCGUGGAGCGGGUGGGGAGCGGCCGCGGCUGGGCCGUGGCUCGUCAAGUGGGGAUGGGUUGACGGGGUUGACGGGAGCACCCACAGCAAGAAAGACAAAAAGAAAAAAAUAAAGUGAUGUUCUGAGGGGUUGAAAGAAGAAUU